AUGAUUACUAGGAGUUUGCGAUAUACCGUCAAGCUUCCACAGCGAAAGCGUUA
RNAcentral lists this ribosomal RNA (53 nucleotides) under Porphyromonas gingivalis. Its description in RNAcentral is "partial ribosomal RNA". Lineage: Bacteria; Pseudomonadati; Bacteroidota; Bacteroidia; Bacteroidales; Porphyromonadaceae. The record is from RNAcentral.